UGGGAAUUGAAUCACUGAACUACUUCCCUAGUCCUUUUUAUUUUAUUUUGAGACAAAUUGUGCAGGCUGGCCUUGAGCCUGUGAUCCUCCUGCCUCAGGCUCCCGAGUGGCUGGGAUUACAGGUGUGUGCCACCCUGAGGAUAUUUUGGUACCAAAGAUUAAAUUCAGGAGCACUCCAUCACUGAGCCACAUCCCAGCCCUAUUUUGUUUAGAGACAGGGUCUCACUGAGUUGUUUAGUGCCUCACCAUAGCUGGUGCUGGCUUUGAACUUGCCAUUCUCCUGUCUCAGCCUCCCAAGCCGCUGCUGGGAUUACAGGUAUGUACUACCAGGCCGCCCUGAGGAAUUAUUUUGAUAAAAACAAACAACACAACAACAAAUUUUUUUUUCCUCUAAAAUUAAGGAAUCCAUUUCCAUGACUGUCAUGAAGCCCUGGGUGAGUUAGCAGGAAUAAGUUUGGAGGUAACUAUCCUGGCUCUGGAAUUCCUAGUAACAAUCACUGUUUUCUCUCUUGAUCUCAAUGGAAAACCCAGGAUCAUAUAACCUCAACAUUCCUGGCAAACGCCAAAGCCAACUAUGUAGGAGGCUUUUUUAGAGGAGAAGACAACUCUUGUCUUCCCAGAGGAUAAAUCCUCCACGUUGCUCUAUGAGGCAGAUAGCAACCCCGAACCAUGAAUGGGUUGGGGUCUGCGCUGGCCUCAAUGGCUUCCUUUCAAUUAAAGUAAGUGGACAGCAGUAAAGUUCAACUCCCCCUUCCCCACCCCGGGGGUCAUCCUACAAUCAUUGAAAAACACCUGGCUCAAUUAAGUGUCAAAUAUUAUUUUGUUACCUACACAUUUCUC
This 840-nucleotide long non-coding RNA is filed under the name Marmota monax (woodchuck). The record is from RNAcentral. Lineage: Eukaryota; Metazoa; Chordata; Mammalia; Rodentia; Sciuridae.